This is a long non-coding RNA of Homo sapiens (human), 3904 nucleotides long. RefSeq lists it as uncharacterized. The transcript has 2 exons. The record is from RefSeq and is a predicted model, not a curated record. Lineage: Eukaryota; Metazoa; Chordata; Mammalia; Primates; Hominidae.
GAGUGGGGAUGAGCUAUCUAGGCCAGAACCAAGAGGUGAGCAGGAAGCAUGCUCUUGCCCUGGCUGAGAGCUGCAUGCCCCUGCUUCUUAGGCUGAACCCAGAAGGAUGUGGCCUGGUUUCUGUCUCCAGCAGGAGUCUUGAAGCUUGGGGUAGUUUUGCAUUCUGAGCACAGACAGCUGAAGGCCCAGCUGGCUGUGGCAGCUUUCUGCCAGCAGAAGUCCAUGGAUUUAAAAUCUGCUCUGUCAAGGACGUGGGAGCUGGGUGCAUCUCACUGCCAACUGCCGCUCCUCUUUCUAUGUGUGGUGUCUUUUGUGCAGCAGAGGCAGUUCUGCUUCUCCCUGGAACAUUACCCCAGCAACCAGGGAACUGCUGUCUGACUCCCAUAGGGAUUGCCACUUGUGUCUGCACUUGGGGAACCAGAUCAUAGACUUGUCUGACCCAGUCCCCACCUAGCUUUGCAACUCCAUCUGCCUUGGUAGCAGAACCUAAACAGGGACUUUUGGGAGUUUCAUAGCCCAGUCCAUUGCCUAGGACAUCUGAAUAUCCCCCAUAGGUAAAAUAGACCAAGUGCAAGUCCCACAGCCACCAUCACAGCUGUCUCUCUCCUGCAAGUGCCACUUCCUGGCCAGAGGUCAACCAGCACAGCCCACUACAACAUCUGCUGGCACAAUAACACAGCACAUGGGAGGAAGAAAACUUUUGUAUGACCUCUGCUAACACCAUUGCCCCCACUAUUCCAGCCACUCAGGAGGCCUUGAGCCUAUUCAUGUUCCCAGUAUAUUACUACUACAGCUGUUAAUUGAGAAAGCCAUCACACUAAAGCUUUGUAAAGCCAAGGAAAUCUUACGAUGUCUACACCAAUACCCUGCUAUUCCCAUCUUGGCUGGUGCUUCCACCCACUGCUGGGAGACCAGAGGACAGGUCAUCCUGGUUCAGCUCCACCCAACAUUGCCCCCUCUGGAGCUAAGAGCAGAGCCCUAGCUACUGCACAUCCCACAGACCAGUCCAUAGCCCGAGGCAUCAGAGAGCUACUCCAAACGGCUGCCCAGAGAUGUCAGUGACCAGUUCUCCUCAGAAGGAAGAGCCAAAAUUACAGGUGAAUAAUCAUAGUCCAAAUGGAAUGUUAAAGGGAAAGUUCUGGAACCUACCAGAGAUUUCACUGGAAGAAUCUACAACACACACAAAAGAAAGACACAAGAAGCUGACAGAGAUCAAACCCUGAGAAAGCUAGUAUUCCAUAAAAGGGUAGGGAGUAUUUUCAGCCUCUUUAACUCUUGUGGCAGACUGCUGGUUAUCAUAAUUCAAGAAGAGAUUCUUUGCCCUCAUAAGCCCAAGUACUGGAGUGGGCUGCAAUUUGGGGACUUCUUCAGAGCAUUACACUGGGCUACCAGCUCAUGCUGGGAUCCUUCCUUUUCCCCCUGGACCUGGGCUGUAGUAGCGGGCACAAUACUGGGUGUGCACUCAUUGUGGGACUUCGCUUUGCUCGGAGACCUUCAAACCUUGUCUCUUCACAUCACCAUAUCCUUUGCAACCAUUCCCCAGCACAGCCUGGACUGUGACAGCCCCACAGGGUGGCUGGACCCAGAGGAGCAGUGGGCUUCACAGUAUACAGCUUCCUAGGAGCAGAUAUUAUAUCUGCCCAAAUCAGAGUUAGCAUAUGUAAGAGAGUCAGUAAAAUACUUCCUGAAUUCAACUGAGGCAAUUCCAUGAAGAAAAAGGAACCACAAGAGGGAACAUCAUGAGGUAGGGGUUCUUGUCAUUGUUCUGCCACCCAUUUUGAAUGUGUUAACUUAUCACUCAAGGUCUGUAUAGUUUGUUUGUGAAACGACAUUGAAUCAACUGGCUAGGAUCCCUAAGUAUGUGUCUUACAUUGAAAUUACCGGGCACCUGAUGAGCUUUCUCUGGAAAUCUCCAACUAGGCCACUUCCUGUUGCAGAAGUGGAAAGAACUUUGUUUCAAAGCACAUACAUCUGUGAACCUCCCAGCUCUUCACUCCUGGCACGGAAUAUCAGUGUCUGGAUGUGGCGUUCUUCAUCCUUGUUUAUAAACACUGAAACAUGCCUCUUCCUGAUUAAAGACAAUUACCUAUUCCCUCUCUUUUCCACUUCAGUUAUAUUCUCCCUGAGGCCAGGAAAGGAGCUCACCUCUGACCUUGUGUGAUUUUCCCAUAUUAGCUCACCAGAGAGUGACUGAAUUGCAAAUCAGAUCCUCUUUUCUGUUACUCAGAAUUUUACUUGAUCUUGCCUACUGCAAAGUUGCAAUUAGGCUGUCUGAGAAGUGUAAAUCAAAUCCAUUUAACCUCUCUCAGGAAGAUGGCAAACGCUCAAUACCAAGUUCCCUAUCUUUUCCAUGGCCAUUUGUAUUAAAAUGCUGACAAAUGCUUACUUCUCUCCAUCUGAUCAGCUUCUCAGGUUCUCAUCCUUUGCCAUUAUUUUCUAUUUAAAAAGCUGUUCACAUACAUGUCUCUUUCCCCCAGGUUCUAGUACCCCAGAUGUGAUACAUGCAUGAGGGGGCUAGAACUUCCUGCAAGGGUGCAGGGGAGCAGGGAAGUGGGGGGUAGCGUGGGGUCAGUGGUUGCGGGGAGGUGAUGAAAGGGCCCAGCUGCCCUGGCUGAUGUGGAGGCUCACAUUUGGCUAUAGAGACUGCCCAAGGCUCAUGGUGAUUUCUGUUCUCAAACCAGAUAAAUCAAGACUUCCCACUAUCCAACUGUAAAGUUCCCAAUCAUCAACAACUUCAUGCCCACCCUCCACCACAAAGGGAAAGGAAACUGCCCUUAGCAUCCCUGAAGGGAUUUUGCCUUGCUUGUGUCUCAAAACUCUUCUGUGCUCUGUGACCCAGGAUGUCAGCGUAUCAUCAAACAACACUCUGAUUUUUUUUUUUUUUUUACCUUAUCUCCUGUUCUUAGACCUUGGCCUCUCUUCCUCAGUGUACUGAAUCAGCUUUUGCUAUAAUUUUGGUGACUCAUAUUGGCCCUGAUCAUUAUUGGAAUCCCGUAAGUUUCAUAUUCUGCUCCAAGAAACAUUUGGAUAAAUUGAGAAAAACUAAUAGCCUUUCAUGGUAAUAACAGUCUACUCCCUUCAUGAUGUCAACAAAUGCUAUCAGAGUCCACACAAGACCUCCCAAACAUUUCUGAUGAUCAGAGACAAGAUACCGUCUUAUAUACCAAAAACCUCAGGUGAGAAACAGAAGUAAACUGGCAAGCCAUCCCUGAAGCUCCAGACAGCAAACACAGCAAGCAUGCAGCUUCCCCUUCUGUCUGGAGGAAUCUUGUGCUAAGCAGCACCUACCCACAAGCCUUUGUUUCUCUACAGAUGGAAAAGCUCCUGCCAUCCUGGGCAGCACAUGGUAGAGGGGAGGCAGCCACUGACCUUCUGGGUAAUCUGUCAUGACGACCUGAUAGCAGACCGGCAGGAUGCUCCAAACUGUCACCAAAGAUGUCACGAGUGCUUCUGAGGCUCAAGAAUCUAAUUUUCCUUACUUAAAAUAAAAGGACUGAAUGCUGGAUGAAUAACCCUUUUUUUCACCCCCUAAACAAAUCUCAUAGGGAAUCCUAAUAUAUAAAAUAACCAAAGUGCAAGCCCUGGGUUAAAGCCGAGGAUGGGUGCUAGAGAUGGGCUAGAGCAUGUCUGCUUAGCUUUCUUCCACUAUCCCAGCCAUUUAAAGACCACAAGUUAGCUUCCUGGAAUUCAGUUUGACAAACACUUAGGCUAGAUCAUUGUCAGGGGACCUUCAUUUCAAGCUCCAUGGAGUAGGUCGGGGACUCUGCCUUGGUCAUCCCUGAAUCCCCACAGCCAUGGUUCUAGCACACAGUAAGCACUAAAAACCAAAACCCAAAAACCCGUAUGAUAAUGUAUGUCUACAGACAUUCGAUGAAUGGAUGAAUAAAAGAUUUUUCAGAUACCA